Molecule: ribosomal RNA, 497 nt
Filed under: uncultured bacterium
Lineage: Bacteria
Description: partial 16S ribosomal RNA
Rfam family: Bacterial small subunit ribosomal RNA
Source: RNAcentral
GAUGAACGCUGGCGGCGUGCCUAAUACAUGCAAGUCGAGCGAACAGACGAGGAGCUUGCUCCUCUGACGUUAGCGGCGGACGGGUGAGUAACACGUGGAUAACCUACCUAUAAGACUGGGAUAACUUCGGGAAACCGGAGCUAAUACCGCAUAAUAUAUUGAACCGCAUGGUUCAAUAGUGAAAGACGGUUUUGCUGUCACUUAUAGAUGGAUCCGCGCCGCAUUAGCUAGUUGGUAAGGUAACGGCUUACCAAGGCAACGAUGCGUAGCCGACCUGAGAGGGUGAUAGGCCACACUGGAACUGAGACACGGUCCAGACUCCUACGGGAGGCAGCAGUAGGGAAUCGUCCGCAGUGGGGGAAAGCCUGACGGAGCAACGCCGCGUGAGUGAUGAAGGUCUUCGGAGCGUAAAACUCUGUUAUUAGGGAAGAGCAAAUGUGUAAGUAACUAUGCACGUCGUGACGGUACCUAAUCAGAAAGCCACGGCUAACUACGUG